RNAcentral lists this ribosomal RNA (253 nucleotides) under uncultured bacterium. Its description in RNAcentral is "partial 16S ribosomal RNA". It matches the Rfam family "Bacterial small subunit ribosomal RNA", at positions 524 to 776 of the family's 1533-position model. The record is from RNAcentral.
UACAGAGGUCUCAAGCGUUGUUCGGAUUCAUUGGGCGUAAAGGGUGCGUAGGCGGCCAACUAAGUCGGAUGUGAAAUCCCCAGGCUUAACCUGGGAACUGCAUCCGAUACUGGAUGGCUUGAAUCCGGGAGAGGGAUGCAGAAUUCCAGGUGUAGCGGUGAAAUGCGUAGAUAUCUGGAGGAAUACCGGUGGCGAAGGCGGCAUCCUGGACCGGCAUUGACGCUGAGGAGCGAAAGCUAGGGGAGCAAACGGG